RNAcentral lists this ribosomal RNA (465 nucleotides) under Vreelandella stevensii. RNAcentral describes it as "partial 16S ribosomal RNA". It matches the Rfam family "Bacterial small subunit ribosomal RNA", at positions 338 to 795 of the family's 1533-position model. The record is from RNAcentral. Lineage: Bacteria; Pseudomonadati; Pseudomonadota; Gammaproteobacteria; Oceanospirillales; Halomonadaceae.
CCUACGGGUGGCAGCAGUGGGGAAUAUUGGACAAUGGGCGAAAGCCUGAUCCAGCCAUGCCGCGUGUGUGAAGAAGGCCUUCGGGUUGUAAAGCACUUUCAGUGGGGAAGAAAGCCUUGGGGCUAAUACCCUCGAGGAAGGACAUCACCCACAGAAGAAGCACCGGCUAACUCCGUGCCAGCAGCCGCGGUAAUACGGAGGGUGCGAGCGUUAAUCGGAAUUACUGGGCGUAAAGCGCGCGUAGGCGGUCUGAUAAGCCGGUUGUGAAAGCCCCGGGCUCAACCUGGGAACGGCAUCCGGAACUGUUAGGCUAGAGUGCAGGAGAGGAAGGUAGAAUUCCCGGUGUAGCAGUGAAAUGCGUAGAGAUCGGGAGGAAUACCAGUGGCGAAGGCGGCCUUCUGGACUGACACUGACGCUGAGGUGCGAAAGCGUGGGUAGCAAACAGGAUUAGAUACCCUAGUAGUC